GUGGAUCCGAGAACUUUGGAAUCACAACGGAGGUUACAAAAUAUUUAUGUAAACGUUAUGCUCAAACUAUUAAGGAGUGGUGGUUACUUUGGAAAAAGAAUAUCAGAUAGUGGUUACUUUCAAAAAUUAAAAAGGCAUUGCAGUUAUCAUAUAAAAAAGUAUAUAUUGUUGAAAUAAUUGUUGGACUCUAUUUUUAUUAAUGGGUGAUACUGUUGUUUUAAUAGAAUAGACUAGAUUUCCACCCGCACAACCGUGCGGGUAUAUAUUUUCACAUUUAUAUAUGUAGACAUUUGUUUUACAUAAUUAUUAUAUAUUUUUAAUGUUACUCACAUAUUUAAAUGUUUGUAUAAUUAUGCCAAAUAUAAUAAUUUUAUAGUUUUCAUGCUGUAAAUUAAACUCAUCACAUAUAUAUAUAUAUGUUGCUUAUUAUAUAUUUGUCUUAUUGAAUUUG
This 451-nucleotide long non-coding RNA is filed under the name Brassica napus (rape). RNAcentral describes it as "long non-coding RNA (BNAP_LNC006043)". Lineage: Eukaryota; Viridiplantae; Streptophyta; Magnoliopsida; Brassicales; Brassicaceae. The record is from RNAcentral.